Molecule: ribosomal RNA, 239 nt
Filed under: uncultured soil bacterium
Lineage: Bacteria
Description: partial 16S ribosomal RNA
Rfam family: Bacterial small subunit ribosomal RNA
Source: RNAcentral
AGAUUGAACGCUGGCGGCAGGCCUAACACAUGCAAGUCGAGCGGUAGAGAGGUGCUUGCACCUCUUGAGAGCGGCGGACGGGUGAGUAAUGCCUAGGAAUCUGCCUAGUGGUGGGGGAUAACGUUCGGAAACGGACGCUAAUACCGCAUACGUCCCUACGGGAGAAAGCGGGGGACCUUCGGGCCUCGCGCCAUUAGAUGAGCCUAGGUCGGAUUAGCUAGUUGGUGAGGUAAUGGCUC